Molecule: non-coding RNA, 232 nt
Organism: Paramuricea clavata
Lineage: Eukaryota; Metazoa; Cnidaria; Anthozoa; Malacalcyonacea; Plexauridae
Source: the annotation of a GenBank genome assembly
GGAUUUGGAAAGAGAUUAGAAAGUUCGUCAAUACGUUCUAAAGCCUUUUUUGAUUUUAGUGCAAUAGUUUUGAGGAUAUAGGCCUUUAAACAACGAACUGUUCCGGAGUCCCAGCCUCCUGGGGUCUAAACACGGCUAUUGAAUUUGGCCUUUUUCGAAACUGUCCAUUGUGCACAGGAGCCUGGGACUCAGGAACUGUAGGUAGUUUAGAGGCUUGUAUCUUCGAAAUUAU